Long non-coding RNA from Cyprinus carpio carpio, 575 nucleotides. The record is from Ensembl. Lineage: Eukaryota; Metazoa; Chordata; Actinopteri; Cypriniformes; Cyprinidae.
GUUUGCAAGGGGAAGUAAGGCCUCUUAGCUAAACACAAUGAGAUCCCUCUGAUGACCUUUCAAGUGUUGCAGAGGAAUGUAAGCAGAUCAGGCAGGCAGAGUUUGAACCAUGACAUGGUGGAGGGCAGCGCUGCCGUCAGACUGAACUCAAUGCUGGGCAGUAAUGGUGGCUCUUAGUCAAACCUGAAGUCCUGGGGUACCACAGCGCUCCCUGUGCAGUACGACGGGGCAAAAGGUGAGGGCGGGAAGCCAAACAAAGGCAUGUGUGCCUCUGCCAUCGUCGAGCGGGACCCCUCGCUCGUCUGUCAGAAUGCCGGAGUGCACCGUUUUCAAUGGCAUUCCGCAUUCCAACACUGGAGAAAGUGGCCGGUGAGAGGGCAGCAUGUCAUCCCCACGGUAACAAGACCCUUGGGCGGGUUGAGAAAAGGGGGUGUAGAAGCACUACAGUGAGCCUUGUCCUCACUCUCAGGUGAUGUGAGGAACUUUUUGUGUUAUGUGGAGUAUAACACACUGCUGCUUUUGACCCCACACACAUCCAUUACUGUAGAAUGUGGCCCUGUUGGGUCAACGGGGAC